UACGUAGGUGGCAAGCGUUGUCCGGAAUUAUUGGGCGUAAAGCGCGCGCAGGCGGCCUUUUAAGUCUGAUGUGAAAUCUUGCGGCUCAACCGCAAGCGGUCAUUGGAAACUGGGAGGCUUGAGUACAGAAGAGGAGAGUGGAAUUCCACGUGUAGCGGUGAAAUGCGUAGAUAUGUGGAGGAACACCAGUGGCGAAGGCGACUCUCUGGUCUGUAACUGACGCUGAGGCGCGAAAGCGUGGGGAGCAAACAGG
This 253-nucleotide ribosomal RNA is filed under the name uncultured bacterium. RNAcentral describes it as "partial 16S ribosomal RNA". It matches the Rfam family "Bacterial small subunit ribosomal RNA", at positions 524 to 776 of the family's 1533-position model. The record is from RNAcentral.